Molecule: long non-coding RNA, 168 nt
Organism: Sinocyclocheilus anshuiensis
Lineage: Eukaryota; Metazoa; Chordata; Actinopteri; Cypriniformes; Cyprinidae
Exons: 3
Source: RefSeq, a predicted model, not a curated record
UAUGACAUUAAAAUAAGGUCAAGGUCAAGUUUAUUUAUAUAGCACCUUAAAAGCAACAAGUGCUGACCAAGGUGCUGCACAACCAAAACAUCAGAAAAAUCAACUAACAAAAGCAUUAAGACAAUAUAAAAUUUGAAAUCAUUAAAUAAUACAAUAAGUAAUGCAAGA